CCAGAGCCGCACGGAAGUGAAGGAGGUGUUCUCCAAAGUCAAUGUUGCUGCAAAGAAACAGUUGUCAGAGAUUAAAAAGGUUGCAAUGUUCCAGGUCAAACAUAGUAGAAAAUUGGUGGCAUACUACCAGAAAAAGAACGAGAAAUUGGAGGCGGAGUGGGUUAAGAUGAAGCAGGAAAUGCAGAAGAUGAACAAGUGAGUUGAAUUAAC
Syngnathus acus (greater pipefish) is the source of this 210-nucleotide long non-coding RNA. RefSeq lists it as uncharacterized. The transcript has 3 exons. The record is from RefSeq and is a predicted model, not a curated record. NCBI's taxonomy places the organism in Eukaryota, Metazoa, Chordata, Actinopteri, Syngnathiformes, Syngnathidae.